Molecule: ribosomal RNA, 1202 nt
Filed under: Hapalocystis kickxii
Lineage: Eukaryota; Fungi; Ascomycota; Sordariomycetes; Diaporthales; Sydowiellaceae
Description: eukaryotic LSU rRNA
Rfam family: Eukaryotic large subunit ribosomal RNA (bases 275-1202)
Source: RNAcentral
AACGCAGCGAAAUGCGAUAAGUAAUGUGAAUUGCAGAAUUCAGUGAAUCAUCGAAUCUUUGAACGCACAUUGCGCCCGCCAGUAUUCUGGCGGGCAUGCCUGUUCGAGCGUCAUUUCAACCCUCAGCGCUUCGGCCUGGUGUUGGGGUGCUGCCUCCUCGUGAGGCACGCCCCUAAAUUCAUUGGCGAGCCCGCCGGUCUCCCGAGCGCAGUAAUUACACCUCGCUCCGGGCGGACCGGUGCGGCCCGGCCGUUAAACCCCAACUCUUUAUGGUUGACCUCGGAUCAGGUAGGAAUACCCGCUGAACUUAAGCAUAUCAAUAAGCGGAGGAAAAGAAACCAACAGGGAUUGCCCCAGUAACGGCGAGUGAAGCGGCAACAGCUCAAAUUUGAAAUCUGGCCUCGGCCCGAGUUGUAAUUUGCAGAGGAUGCCUUUGGCGCGGUGCCUUCCGAGUUCCCUGGAACGGGACGCCACAGAGGGUGAGAGCCCCGUAUGGUCGGACACCAAGCCUUUGUAAGGCUCCUUCGACGAGUCGAGUAGUUUGGGAAUGCUGCUCAAAAUGGGAGGUAAAUCUCUUCUAAAGCUAAAUAUUGGCCAGAGACCGAUAGCGCACAAGUAGAGUGAUCGAAAGAUGAAAAGCACCUUGAAAAGGGGGUUAAACAGUACGUGAAAUUGUUGAAAGGGAAGGGCUCGUGACCAGACUUGUGCCAGGCGGCUCAUCCGGCGUUCUCGUCGGUGCACUCCGCCUGGCUCAGGCCAGCAUCGGUUCUUGCCGGGGGAUAAGAGCUCCGGGAACGUGGCCCCCUUCGGGGGGUGUUAUAGCCCGUUGCACGAUGCCCUGGCGGGGACCGAGGUUCGCGCUCCGCAAGGAUGCUGGCGUAAUGGUCACCAACCACCCGUCUUGAAACACGGACCAAGGAGUCGUCCAUCAGAGCGAGCGUUUGGGUGUCAAACCCGCACGCGUAAUGAAAGUGAACGCAGGUGAGAGCUUCGGCGCAUCAUCGACCGAUCCUGAUGUCUUCGGAUGGAUUUGAGUAAGAGUUUUGCUGGACGGACCCGAAAGACAGUGAACUAUGCUUGUAUAGGGUGAAGCCAGAGGAAACUCUGGUGGAGGCUCGCAGCGGUUCUGACGUGCAAAUCGAUCGUCAAAUAUGAGCAUGGGGGCGAAAGACUAAUCGAACUGUCUAGUAGCUGGUUACCGC